Molecule: long non-coding RNA, 204 nt
Filed under: Elaeis guineensis (African oil palm)
Lineage: Eukaryota; Viridiplantae; Streptophyta; Magnoliopsida; Arecales; Arecaceae
Description: long non-coding RNA (EGUI_LNC065587)
Source: RNAcentral
UUUGGUGGUUAUAGUAGUGAUUAGAGAGAGAGAGUGGUGGAAAGCAUGCAGACAUGUUUGGGUCCUUGGAGAGCAGCAAUGGUCUCUAAUGAGCAGCUUGAGUAAGGAGGGGGGUGGGGUGAAGCUAUUUGGGUCUAGCUUCAAGUGUGUCAAGAAAGAACAGAUGAAUAGAAUAGCGAUGUAAACGAGCCGAAAAUAGGUGAG